GUCCACGCCCUAAACGAUGCAUAUUUGGUGUGGGCAGUUCAUUCUGUCCGUGCCGGAGCUAACGCGUUAAAUAUGCCGCCUGGGGAGUACAGUCGCAAGGCUGAAACUCAAAGGAAUUGACGGGGGCCCCGCACAAGCGGUGGAGCAUGUGGUUCAAUUCGACGCAACGCGAAGAACCUUACCUGGGCUCGAACGGCCGGUCAACGGCGGUGGAAACAUCGCUACCCCGCAAGGGGGUCCGGUCGAGGUGCUGCAUGGCUGUCGU
This 265-nucleotide ribosomal RNA is filed under the name uncultured bacterium. RNAcentral's name for it is "partial 16S ribosomal RNA". It matches the Rfam family "Bacterial small subunit ribosomal RNA", at positions 793 to 1055 of the family's 1533-position model. The record is from RNAcentral.